Long non-coding RNA from Leptidea sinapis, 872 nucleotides. RefSeq lists it as uncharacterized. Lineage: Eukaryota; Metazoa; Arthropoda; Insecta; Lepidoptera; Pieridae. The record is from RefSeq and is a predicted model, not a curated record. The transcript has 3 exons.
CCUUAAAAUCGUAAAACGAUUAAUAUUCCGUUUGAUACCAGUGUUAUACAAAACUUGGAACUACUAUUGGAAUUCAAAGAUUUCAAUAAUUAAAAGAAUUGGAUUUAGUUAUCAAUUUUCGUUAAACUUUUAAUAUAGUAGCAGCAUCCAGUUAUGUUCGGAUUUGUUCCGCUGUUUUAAUUGCUAGCAAUAUUAUGAUACGUCCAGUUCGAGUACAAAUACCGUUGAAGAUGUUUCUCUACGGAUAUUUUGUUAUUGCGGUCAUGAUAUUUCAUCACACGCACCAAACCGAAUUCAUAGUUCAUGGGACAGCUGUUGGUCAAGACCCGAACAGUGAAUCCAAAGUUCAACAAUACUUCAAUGAGUUACUUGGCCUUACAGAGAUGAAACCGAUACUCCAAAAUAAUAAUGUUCACUUUGCUGUCGGACCUGCAAUACGAGCGAGUUUAAAAAAGACACACGGUCACGAUAAAGGACGUAAAGAAGCUCGUUGCUUCUUCUUUGGAAAUUUAUGUUCUAUAACCUUUGUAUUUGGAUAACGGAAAUAAAACGGAAAGAAGUUAAAUUAUUUAAACAAUUCAAUAUUUUAUUUUAUAUAAAUUAACUAAUAUAUUAUGUCUAUGAAAUAUUUCUAAAAUAUUUUUUAAUAAUACAAAAGGUAUUGACGCUUCACCAGUAUUUAAUGAAAUUAUAAUUUUUCUUCUAAACUUUUUAUUAGAAGCGUUUGGCUAUCGUCGGAUUUGUUUCGUUGUUUUAAUAGUUAGCAUUUUUAUGACGUAUCAUAAAAAUACACUGGCUGUAGCCAGUCCGAAUACAAAUACGGCUGAAGAUAUUUCUCUGCAGAUAUUGCGUUAUUGAUCUGAAACGAAAGC